This is an RNA transcript of Eucalyptus grandis, 1452 nucleotides long. It is a transcript of the gene named DNA-directed RNA polymerase III subunit 2, with no coding region annotated. Lineage: Eukaryota; Viridiplantae; Streptophyta; Magnoliopsida; Myrtales; Myrtaceae. The transcript is spliced from 5 exons. The record is from RefSeq and is a predicted model, not a curated record.
ACAGAACUGACUCUCUCGCGUUCGCUUCCUCUGCCCGUCGCCGACGCUGCUUGCCCUCGACGCCACCGGAUGUUGCUCGCCUUGCCGCUCAGCCGCUCGCCGUCGACGCCGCCGCUGGACGCCGCUCGUCCCCCGGUGGAGGCCGCUCGCUCGCCUAGCCGCCCCGACGCCGCUCGCCGCUCGCCCAGCUGCCCCCCCCGACACCGCUCGCCGCUCACCCAGCCGCCUCGACAGGGCUUGCCGCUCGCCCAGCCGCCUCGAUGCCGCUCGCCCCCCGACACUGCAGUGCAUGUGCGAGAUGAUGAAGUUCUUGCUGGAAGCUUCUUCUCUGUGGCAGGAGCACUUGUGGGUCUGCUAAAACCAGGGAGGAUGAGCAUGUUUGGGACGCUGCUAAUAAUCUGGGGUCUUGUCAAGGAGGGCAUCUUGGGAAAGCCUGUGAAUGUGGAUCCUGCAAAGGCAGUCCAUGUUUAUCCUACGAUGUUGCUUGCAUUGAUCUGUGCCUUGUCAUCCAUUAAAUAUGAUGUGAAGAAGGCCAUGAGACCUGCCCCUGCUCGAACAAUUGCAAAGCCAUUGCAGAGCCAUUGCAGAGCUCAUCAAAAUCUAAGCUGAAAUGAGAUGAAUUGCAAUUUAUGCUUAAAUUGGUGGCCACAUGCACAUUAAGACUUUUUGUCCCUAAAUGACCCCUACAUGUCCUGUUGAGGUUUAUUAGUGCUGCAAAGCUGCAGAACUUCUGUAUUCGCAAGCACCUGUUCUAUCGCCAAAGAACUUAUAUGAAUAGUGGUGAUGGAGAAAGGGAAGAUGUACUUACAACUCAAUCAAUUUGCCACGGUGGUUUCGUAUGUUUUAGUUUCUUUCACAUGCUUAAAAGGGACGUCUCUGAUUUUAUUCCAAUUAUGAUAGUCAUGAAGGCAAUGGGAAUGGAAAGUGAUCAAGAGGUUGUCCAGAUGAUCGGCAGAGACCCUAGAUAUAGUGCCCUACUUCUUCCAUCAAUUGAGGAAUGUGCAAGCCUCAGUAUAUUUACACAACAACAAGCUCUUGAGUUCCUCCAGGGAAAGGUUUGAAAAGCUUUGCAACUUCAAGCUCUUGGGUUUCCUAAUGCAUUUCUGUUCUGCAAGAGUUCAACAAGUUCCUUCAGCUUGUAAUAUAGUCCCCAUUGGCUCUGCACUUCAAACAGAAACGAGAGACCACUCCAUUAUCGAAUACACCAUGCCAAUUGUUUGUUUAUGCACUCUGGGACCUAUGACUCUUGUGCCUGGCCAGGCCAAUAAUGCAUACAUUUUCCCAGGACUUGGUCUAGGCUUGAUAAUGUCUGGGCUUGCGAACUUUGGUAUUCUAAGAGCAUGAAAAUUCAGUUUGCUGAUGGAGCGGCAUUAGUCAAAGGGACAGCAAGGUGCUUUUUGUUUUUUUGGAUGCUUUAGCUCCCAAGGAACUAUUUUUGGCAAUUUAUGGACA